RNAcentral lists this long non-coding RNA (204 nucleotides) under Homo sapiens (human). Its description in RNAcentral is "HSALNT0015626". The record is from RNAcentral. Lineage: Eukaryota; Metazoa; Chordata; Mammalia; Primates; Hominidae.
GGCCAGGCGCUACAUCCCACCGGACGGGCCCACACCUGAUUAGGGGCAGGAGGCCUCUCCAAGAACUGGGAUCUGGUGGACGGGAGAACUGGGGAGCAUCCUCCUGACCAUCCCACUCCUGCUCAGGCUCCAUCUUCUUGUCCCAAUGGGAGAAGUUUUUUUACAUUCUGGAGACCUUCAACCUUAUCCGACACCUCCUCCUCG